UGCAGAAUUGAUUUAAAACAUCAGCACAGCCUUUCCAGCCUCAGCGCUAGACCCUACAGCUGCCGAGAUGUUGAUGCCUAAGAAGAAAUGGAUUGCCAUUUAUGAACUCCCACGGUGGCCAAGAAGGAUGCCCACAUGCCUAAGCACCUGGAGCUGGCAGAUAACAAUAUGCCCAACCUUCAUGUCAUGAAGGCCAUGCAGUCUCUCAAGUCCUGAGGCUACAUGAGGGAACAGUUUGCCUGGAGGAGUUUCUAUUGGUGCCUUACCAAUGAGGGUAUCCGGUAUCUCCGUGACUACCUUCACCUGCCCCCAGAAAUUGUGCCUGCCACCCUACGCUGCAGCGGUCCAGAAACUUGCAGGCCUGGGCCUAAAGGUCUGGAGGGUGAACGACCUGCAAGACUCGCAAGAGGGGAAGCCGACAGAGACACCUACAGAUGGAGUGCCGUGCCGCCUGGUGCAGACAAGAAAGCCGAGGCUGGGGCUGGGUCAGCAACCCAAUUCCAGUUUAGAGGCAGAUUUGGUCAUGGACGUAGUCACCCACCUCAGUAAAAUUGGAGAGGAUUAUUUUGCAUUGAAUAAACUUACAGCCAAAAAACCUUUAAAAAAA
Sapajus apella (tufted capuchin) is the source of this 607-nucleotide RNA transcript. It is a transcript of the gene named 40S ribosomal protein S10 pseudogene, with no coding region annotated. The record is from RefSeq and is a predicted model, not a curated record. Lineage: Eukaryota; Metazoa; Chordata; Mammalia; Primates; Cebidae. The transcript has a single exon.